CCUACGCGUGGCAGCAGUGAGGAAUAUUGGUCAAUGGCCGUAAGGCUGAACCAGCCAAGUAGCGUGAGGGAAGACUGCCCUAUGGGUUGUAAACCUCUUUUAUGCGGGGAUAAAGGUGUCCACGUGUGGAUGUUUGCAGGUACCGCAUGAAUAAGGACCGGCUAAUUCCGUGCCAGCAGCCGCGGUAAUACGGCAGGUCCGGGCGUUAUCCGGCUUUAUUGGGGUUAAAGGGAGCGUAGGCCGGUCUUUAAGCGUGCCGUGAAAUUUUGUGGCUCAACCAUGAGAGUGCGGCGCGAACUGGAGACCUUGAGUGCGCGGAAGGCAGGCGGAAUUCGUGGUGUAGCGGUGAAAUGCGUAGAUAUUAGGAGGAACACCAGUGGCGAAGGCGGAUUGCUAGACUGUAACUGACACUGAGGCACGAAAGCGUGGGGAGCAAACAGGAUUAGAUACCCUUGUAGUC
RNAcentral lists this ribosomal RNA (460 nucleotides) under uncultured bacterium. RNAcentral's name for it is "partial 16S ribosomal RNA". It matches the Rfam family "Bacterial small subunit ribosomal RNA", at positions 338 to 795 of the family's 1533-position model. The record is from RNAcentral.